GCCAAACCAGCUAGGGCCCUAUGAAUAGCUUUUAAAAAGCCAUUACUUUUGGCUGUGUCCACGGGUGUUGAAAGGAAGGAGGGUUGGGGCUGCUAGCGGUCACCUUUCCCCAGAAGAAGCCCACCUGGGAGUAAAGUCACAUCCAACAGGAGCCGAAACUGGAGGUGAAGCCAAGGCACCAUCUGGGACCCUGGAUCCAGCCACGCCUGAAGGCGAUCAUGCCUUUAGACUUCCCAGUGUUUGCUCUGAGCUGAGCUUCUGUCCUGCACCUGGGGGCAGAGCCAGCCUGUGCUCAUCUUCCCCGUCCCUCCGCCUCCUCCUGACAGAUGUUCUGUGGUUGGUUUACAGUGAGGCCGUCCUUUGACGUGACUCCUCCCUACUUGGAAUAAAAUCUGCCUGUAAUUGGCUGGAAAAAAAAAAGAACCAUUACUUUUGUUUUCUGAUUACAGAGUUCAAUAUAUAGAUUAACCAAAUUUAUAUUAUUAAUUACAUUUUUAUUCCUUCUCCAUUUUCAUUUAUUUAGGCAGAUGUGAGUCUAAGAAACAAUGUGAGAUAGAUAAAUAUGGGGCCACCCAAAGAGGGGGAACGUUCCCCCAGUGUCCUGCCGUAACCUGCCUGAACAAACAUAUAUAUAUAUAUGUAUUUUUUCCUUAACAUUUUGGACAAGAUUUAGUAUAUUGACUCAAGUUUAAAAACAAAGAGUGUGACAGGAAAUGCUUGCAGAGGCUAGUGUACCAGCCGAUGUGGGGGCUGGGACCGCGGGUGGGGAAGUGUGCAUGCUGGGCCUGGACCUUCCCUGGCUGAGGUGUGCCAAUGUGCACAGGUAUUUAGUGACAUGGUGUAGAGAGGCAAAAA
Molecule: long non-coding RNA, 855 nt
Organism: Pipistrellus kuhlii (Kuhl's pipistrelle)
Lineage: Eukaryota; Metazoa; Chordata; Mammalia; Chiroptera; Vespertilionidae
Exons: 2
Source: RefSeq, a predicted model, not a curated record